This 419-nucleotide ribosomal RNA is filed under the name Clostridioides difficile. RNAcentral's name for it is "partial 23S ribosomal RNA". It matches the Rfam family "Bacterial large subunit ribosomal RNA", at positions 895 to 1323 of the family's 2925-position model. The record is from RNAcentral. Lineage: Bacteria; Bacillati; Bacillota; Clostridia; Peptostreptococcales; Peptostreptococcaceae.
UACGGAGGUAGAGCACUGAAUGUCCUAGGGGGUAUUGCACCUACCGAAGACUAUCAAACUCCGAAUGCCGUCAUCUUAUACUUGGGAGUCAGACUGUGGGUGAUAAGAUUCAUAGUCGAAAGGGCAACAGCCCAGAUCGUCAGCUAAGGUCCCUAAAUGUAAGUUAAGUGGUAAAGGAUGUGGGAUUGCACAGACAACCAGGAUGUUGGCUUAGAAGCAGCCACUCAUUCAAAGAGUGCGUAAUAGCUCACUGGUCGAGUGAUCCUGCGCCGAAGAUUUCCGGGGCUAAAACUUACUACCGAAGCUACGGCAUCAUUAUGAUGGGUAGGGGAGCUUCCCAUACGGGUUGAAGCAUGACCGUAAGGACAUGUGGACAGUAUGGGAGUGAGAAUGUUGGCAUGAGUAGCGAGAUGUGGGUG